AGGGUGGUGAGGUGGGUGGGAGGUGGUGGUGGGUGGGAAAGUAUGGGUGAUAGUCCAUGAUACUGGCUGAGUUUGCAAUAGCAGGUGGAACCCUAACUAUUGAGGGAGUUUGCAGAUACCUCAGGAUUCGUGACAAUGCCUUUAAAGAUCCAGGAGAGAUGUUCAGCUACUAGGAACUGCUAGCAAGUAUAGCGCGAAUGGCUCCGAGCUCAGACACUCUACAGCUGAGAGUAGACACUUGUGGGAGGAGUCUGCUACUAGUCUUAUCAGCUCUUAAAAACAGAAACUCACCUGUCCAAGUUCGUGGCAGAAAGGAACGUCCUUGUGAAGACCUUUAUCUGAGCCACUGUACUUCGUUAUCACUGCCGUGCAGUUGACAUGAGCUGUUCUGCAGCUCAAAUUCCAUUUUGUAAAUGGGGUUUUUUGUUUUUUGUUUUUUUUUUAAUAAACUGUAUUUAACUUAGUUCUGCUUGUUUGGUCCUCCUUUGUGAUAUCUAUGGUUAAUAACAUGUUGAAAUUCAGGUUAGAGAGGAUAUGGUUGAUUACAGUGUGAAUUGCUAUAUUUAAAUUUAUCCCAUUCAGUUUUAUGGUUUAAUGAAAAUAGAAAUGGGUUUUCACUGCUGGAGUAAUUUUUGGCUCAUUAUAAUAAGUAAACUUGACUGUUGAUCCAAUUGAGCAUGUCCUUUUUCUAGCUCCCCUGACAAGGGAAAAUCAAGUUGUAGCACUGCCAUUGAGCUCAGUAGGUCUCUAUUGGGACUUACAGCAUCUAUUGGGAUGCUCACCAUCUGUUGCAGAAGGACAUAAUGGAUUUCAUCUUUGGCAAAC
RNAcentral lists this long non-coding RNA (825 nucleotides) under Rhinopithecus bieti (black snub-nosed monkey). RNAcentral's name for it is "lncRNA (ENSRBIG00000045473.1)". The record is from RNAcentral. Lineage: Eukaryota; Metazoa; Chordata; Mammalia; Primates; Cercopithecidae.